GACGGAGGAGGCAAGCGUUAUCCGGAAUUAUUGGGCGUAAAGCGUCCGCAGGUGGUUUUACAAGUCUGUUGUUAAAGCGCGAGGCUCAACCUUGUAUAGGCAAUGGAAACUGUAAGACUAGAGUGCGGUAGGGGUAGAGGGAAUUCCCGGUGUAGCGGUGAAAUGCGUAGAUAUCGGGAAGAACACCAGUGGCGAAGGCGCUCUACUGGGCCUGCACUGACACUGAGGGACGAAAGCUAGGGGAGCAAACAGG
RNAcentral lists this ribosomal RNA (253 nucleotides) under uncultured bacterium. Its description in RNAcentral is "partial 16S ribosomal RNA". It matches the Rfam family "Bacterial small subunit ribosomal RNA", at positions 524 to 776 of the family's 1533-position model. The record is from RNAcentral.